Molecule: non-coding RNA, 215 nt
Organism: Pelobates cultripes (western spadefoot toad)
Lineage: Eukaryota; Metazoa; Chordata; Amphibia; Anura; Pelobatidae
Source: the annotation of a GenBank genome assembly
CUGCUUUUCAGUAGCAAAGCUGAGACUCUUUUGUGACAGUGUAGCACACACACACAGACACUAGUAACUGGUCAUGUUUGCGUUUUGCCUUUCAUGGAUGGGGCAAAGUUUUAGCAAACUCAUCACCUCAAUCUCUCCAAAUAGCUUUAAUCAUGUAUACGUCCUUACAUUGCCAUUCCACCAUGACCUGUAUUUUGUAUAUUGUUGUAUGAUAG